GGACGUGUGACUGAGUGGUUGAAAGUUCCUGGCUUGAGUCUAGGCGUCUUGUAAUAGAGACCAGAAGUUCGAAUCUUCUCACGUCCGUCA
This 90-nucleotide transfer RNA is filed under the name Rickettsiales bacterium. RNAcentral describes it as "tRNA-Ser". It matches the Rfam family "tRNA". From Rfam's summary of the family: Transfer RNA (tRNA) molecules are approximately 80 nucleotides in length. Their secondary structure includes four short double-helical elements and three loops (D, anti-codon, and T loops). Lineage: Bacteria; Pseudomonadati; Pseudomonadota; Alphaproteobacteria; Rickettsiales. The record is from RNAcentral.